Molecule: ribosomal RNA, 253 nt
Filed under: uncultured bacterium
Lineage: Bacteria
Description: partial 16S ribosomal RNA
Rfam family: Bacterial small subunit ribosomal RNA
Source: RNAcentral
GACAGAGGCCUCGAGCGUUAGGCGGAAUCACUGGGCUUAAAGCGUGUGUAGGCGGGCCCGUAAGUGUCUUGUGAAAUCCCACGGCUCAACCGUGGAACUGCUGGGCAUACUGCGGGUCUUGGGCCAACUAGGGGCAGCCGGAACAAGCGGUGGAGCGGUGAAAUGCGUAGAUAUCGCUUGGAACGCCGAAGGUGAAAACAGGCUGCUGGGGUUGCGCCGACGCUGAGACACGAAAGCGUGGGUAGCAAACAGG